GCCUGGGUGGCUCAGUCGGUUGAGCAUCUGGCUUCGGCUCAGGUCAUGAUCUCGCGGUCCGUGGGUUCGAGCCCCGCAUCGGGCU
This 85-nucleotide transfer RNA is filed under the name Felis catus (domestic cat). It matches the Rfam family "tRNA". From Rfam's summary of the family: Transfer RNA (tRNA) molecules are approximately 80 nucleotides in length. RNAcentral also lists the same sequence under 1 other name. The record is from Rfam by way of RNAcentral. Lineage: Eukaryota; Metazoa; Chordata; Mammalia; Carnivora; Felidae.